Molecule: long non-coding RNA, 2581 nt
Organism: Oxyura jamaicensis (ruddy duck)
Lineage: Eukaryota; Metazoa; Chordata; Aves; Anseriformes; Anatidae
Exons: 2
Source: RefSeq, a predicted model, not a curated record
GAGUUGGAGGGGAAAAACAGUAUGAAAGUGCAAAGCCUUGGAUAUAAGUAGGUAGCCCCUAAAGCAGGUGCUAACAAGACCUUCUUGACAACCACUGAGUUUUGUGUGUAGCAGAGGAAAAGUCACAGCUGAAAGAAAAGAAACAGGCAAGGAAUAGUAUUGUGCUGUAGCUGAGUGGGAUUAUAGUAGCUGAAUGAGUCAUUGUUAUAAAAUAUGGGCAAUAGAGCAUCCUUUCAUGUCUCUCUACGCAGAUUGAAUGCAGUCCUGACCAAGAUGACAAAAAUCAUUUUGAUUGAAUCCUUGUCCAUAUUUUUAAAUGAAACGCAUGUGGGGCUAUUAGCUCAGCUCCCCGUCAGAGGCGGCUGCACCGCAGCCCUGCCAUAUGUUUGGCAGUGUUUGAAGCACCUGGCAUCCUCCACAACAGACAGGCACAUCUGAAUGGGGAUAAAUAUUAAACCAUCUCGCAGUUUCCUCUUCCAGCUCCAGGGCUCUGAUCUUUGGCAACCAUGCUGGUGAUCGGAAGAGUGGAGCAUCUGGACAUCAGGAGGAUAAGAAAAUUGGGAAGGAAGCUGGGUCUGCAAGAAAAAGCAGCAGAACCCCAUCCUGUGAGGUCACUAAAUAUGCCUUUUGUUUAUGUAGAUGACUGAUAAAUCGGAUGUUUUAACAUCUAAUUUUCUGAGUUAAUGUGCUUCAGUUUCAGAGGCCAACUUAGGAAAUUCUGUGCCAAUUUUCAUAGAUUCAAAGUGCUAUUGGCUUCUAAAUUAGAUAAACAGAGCUUCCAAAAAUUAUGUCAACUGUGUGUCAAGUUGGCAUAAAAGACAAGAAACACCCUGUGUCAGUGUCAUUUAAAUAAACAAGUUAGCAACUAGUCCUAAAGACCGUGGAGGGAGUAAUUUAUAAGAAUGUGAGUUCCCAACUCCAGGAUUCCAGUUCUCUGACCCAAACAACAGCACUCCCACACACUUGGGAAUGUACAUAUGAAAUUAGCAUGGGAGUGCCAGAGCUGGAAAGCUGUAUCAAAAAGGCCAAAGACACAGGAAACUUCAGAUUUGGAUCUUGAUCUGAGAGGCUUUGGCCUCUUUCUAAAAUUAAGUGCAACUCCCUUGAGUUCUGGGGACCGCUCAGCAUCAUAUUGUGGGGAAGUCAAGGCAGAUAGGGAAAAAUUAAAUGGCAAAAGGCUCCCUGGAUGACAAGAAGGGAAGUGCUGAAGUGAAGAAAAUGCCUGUGAAGACUGGGAUUUUUUUGGACAGAAUUAGAUUCAGGAGGGAACAAAGGAGAACUUGGAGAGAAUUGGUACUGGAUGAAUAAAGUGGAAGGAACUUAUGUCUCAUGAUGGCUCUCAUAUGCCAUCGAAACUUAGCUCAGCUUAAAUGAUUAAGGCAGGUUUGGCUCAAAUUUGCUCUGAAUAAAAAUAUGGAUAGUGAAUCCUGCUUUUAAUUUUGCGGAAACAUGUCCCAAGUAUUUAUUGAGAUAUCAGUCUCAUUUUUUAACCAAGUGCCCUCUAUUAUAGCACAGACACUCCUCAGUUUCCCUGAAGAGACAGACCUCUUUCAGUCUGUUUUCAAUCUUAGGAAAAAGCAGUUGUUCAUAUGAACAACCAAGGUUCCAAACCUUUAAAGCUUUAUCCAUCACUGGUGCAACACGGUCUCAAAACAAAACACUCCAUGGAAAACAAUUAUUGACAUGCAUUUCUCAUUCAGUACACUGAUUUCACUGAGUAAAUAAUAAUGAUGAUAAACUUCAAAACAUUUGUGGAGCCCUAAUACUUGUUUUAUUUUUGUAAACUCUUUAAUGUCUCUGUCAUUUUUGGAAGCCAUCAUUUCAAUGAAAAUUCAUUAUUAAAGGGUUUGAUGACUUUCAGUAAUGAUCUUGGGAUGGAUGUAAUUAAUGAGCUAGAAAAAUCUUUAGGUUAUAUUAAGGUUGAGGAUUACUUGAGGAAUAUUGGAAAAAGAAGCAAGUCUUUCCCCUCAUUACUAAAUAUAUCCCAUGCAGUAAUAUGAAAGAUGCAACAUACUGUAAGAGAAACCAUGAGAUGAGGUACUAUGGUUGCAGCUGUGGUUGUAACGGAGUGACACACACCCUCCAAAAAUCCAAAACAAAAAGAAAAGAAAAAAGGAAAAAAAGGAAGAAAAGACCAGACCAUCCCAAAUUCUUUAAAGGUCAGAUGUGGGUUCAGGUUUGCAGAUGGAAGCCAAACCCAGAAUAUCAUCAUCAGAAGUCUGUGAGUUUUCCAUUUGGGAUCUACAUUUUACAACAGAUCUCUUUCUCCAUAAAGUUACUACAAGAAAACCUUGAUCUGAAUACCAAAAAGACAGAGAAGAUCUAGAUCCAGAUCUGCAGUAUGCGUUCACCUCAUUUCGGAUGGCCUGAUGGGACAAAGCUUACAAGUGCAGUUCACGUGAUGAUUUGGUGAUGAUUUGUUAUGCAUUCUUCCUCUGGUUUAUAUUUUCCUCCCCGCCUCCCCCCCUUACCCCCCUUUUUUUUUUCUUCAUUCAUUUUUUAUUUGUAUUUUUUCCCCAUCCAGGAGGACUGGCUUGAAAGAAUUAAAUAAUUAAAUAUGAUGCUUGGUAUGAAAACGGUA